AUUGAACGCUUGCGUCAGGCCUAACACAUGCAAGUCGAACGAGUGGCGGACGGGUGAGUAAUGUCUGGGAAACUGCCUGAUGGUGGGGGAUAACUACUGGAAACGGUAGCUAAUACCGCAUACCCUCGGAUGUGCCCAGAUGGGAUUGGCUAGUAGGUGGGGUAACGGCUCACCUAGGCGACGAUCCCUAGCUGGUCUGAGAGGAUGACCAGCAACACUGGAACUGAGACACGGUGCAGACGACUACGGGAGGAAGCAGUGGGGAAUAUUGGACAAUGGGCGCAAGGCUGAUGAAGCAAUGCGGCGUGUAUGAAGAAGGCCUUCGGGUUGUAAAGUACUUUCAGCGGGGAGGCGUUACCCGAAGAAGAAGCACCGGCUAACUACGUGCCAGCAGCCGCGGUAAUUC
This 406-nucleotide ribosomal RNA is filed under the name uncultured bacterium. RNAcentral's name for it is "partial 16S ribosomal RNA". It matches the Rfam family "Bacterial small subunit ribosomal RNA", at positions 30 to 526 of the family's 1533-position model. The record is from RNAcentral.